CAGCCUGAGAAACGGCUACCACAUCCACGGAAGGCAGCAGGUGCGAAAAUUGUCCAAUCCUGACUCAGGGAGACAGUGACCAGAAAUAACGAUAAGCUGCCUUUGGUAGCAAUUCGGAAUGAGCACAAAGUAAAUUCUUAGCGAUCACCAAGUGGAGGGCAAGCCUGGUG
RNAcentral lists this ribosomal RNA (170 nucleotides) under uncultured eukaryote. RNAcentral's name for it is "partial 18S ribosomal RNA". It matches the Rfam family "Eukaryotic small subunit ribosomal RNA", at positions 392 to 566 of the family's 1831-position model. The record is from RNAcentral.